AGAAUCAAGAAUUUAUGGCGCUUGUAGUCUAAUUUUACAUCAGAAAAUGAGAUGAGGAGGGUCCUGGCUGUGUCCUGAGGGACCAGGACCUGGUUGCUAAGAGACUAAUGGAAAGUCAGAGGCUAAAGGAAUGGCAGGAGUGAGUCACCGAGCAGAGCAAACAGAGUGCAGGUUGAAAAAUAUAUAGAAGAUAAUUAAAAGAGGAAAUGAUUCACAAACAUACGCACCAUUACGUCACUAUAAAAAUAUUUUCAUAUCAGUGUUGUUUGAGGUCAACAUCUGCUUGUGAGUCCAUGUGCAACUGGUAAUGCUCUAUCUCUGCCCGUAAUGGUGCUUUUGGCUUGACACAGUUUUAUUUGUAUGUGCUGCGUCCAAGUUCCUCAAAACCUUAAUGAAUUUAUUGGACAUGUUUCUUAAAACAAAGCCAGUGUUAUUGCACAUCCACAUCUGUGCAACGUGUCUUAGAUAAUGAGUCAUAGAGCAGAGAAAUUGAAAGCAUGUGCAGCAUUUACGACGCAUUGUUUGUAGUGCUCUUAAUCUCCUGUUUGUCACUGCAGCAACUCUGGAUUCAGGCAGAAUUUAAUUGUUUUAAAGGAUAAUAAACCACAGUAAACACAGGACAUAACAGUGUCCAAAAGAAAAAAAAAAACAUCUGCAAAACUGAAAAAAAAUAAAUGUGACACGAUUUGGUAAAACACCAAGUUUAACAAAGCUUUUACAACCACAGUUCUUAUUUGUCUGAAGGCAAUGAUUUUAUGGAGAAAACAGGAAUUCUUUUGAUAAUAACUUUCCAAACAGGAAGGAACAGGAACAGGUUUGGAGAAAAAUGGAAUAGACAAGUGUGGAGGAAACAGGAAGUGAAUGGAAUCCAUGACUUAUGGCAGAUGUAGUAGUGUGUGAAGAACAGCGGCAUAAUGUGGCCUGAAGGCGGCAAUUGUAGUAAGACUCAAAAUAGAUGGACACAGCACUGAGGGGGCAGCAACAAAUCAGACGGUCGACAAGACAGUCACAAUUUCCACAAGACGACGGGACGAGACGAGAGGAAAUGUGGAAACGCUGUCUAAAAUAAGAGCAAAGAGAACAACAAGGCCAAGAGGGAAGCGAUCAAGCCAAACCUACAGUAUAUACAAUCAAACCUCAGUCAUUCAGGGCAAAGCAGAGAAGCAGGUCAAUGUCCAGAACGUGGUUCUGGUUCGAGUGGAUGAGGAAAAUGAGCACUGUGUGAGAGUCGCUGCUUCUGGAGGGAGAAAAGCAGCUGAUGCCAAUGAAACAGUAUGUGACGCGUGUGGAGUAAUGCACCAUGUAAGAAUUAACCCCAGGACGUGGCCUGAAGCCCACAGUGAACAGCCGUCGACGCGUCGGCCUGUUUCCCUGUCUGACAGGGCCACUCCCCGACCCGGAACCCACCCACCAACCCACCCACCGCCGUGAGAGGACGAGAAGCAACAAGUCAUGUCUGUGUCAGACGCUUCGGUCUGCCUCCACGCAUCCACAGCGUCUCGCGGUGGGUGGAGUGAGUGAGCGAUUAGUCUCGUCUUGUGUCUCAUGGAAAUAAUAGCUAACGGAUAAACAAUAAAAAAGGAAAAACUUGAAAGGGUGAUGAAGUA
RNAcentral lists this long non-coding RNA (1607 nucleotides) under Betta splendens (Siamese fighting fish). Its description in RNAcentral is "lncRNA (ENSBSLG00000019465.1)". Lineage: Eukaryota; Metazoa; Chordata; Actinopteri; Anabantiformes; Osphronemidae. The record is from RNAcentral.